Molecule: ribosomal RNA, 577 nt
Filed under: Dascyllus aruanus (white-tailed damselfish)
Lineage: Eukaryota; Metazoa; Chordata; Actinopteri; Pomacentridae
Description: partial 16S ribosomal RNA
Rfam family: Bacterial large subunit ribosomal RNA
Source: RNAcentral
UAGAGGUCCGCCUGCCCGUGACUAUGAGUUUAACGGCCGCGGUACUUUGACCGUGCGAAGGUAGCGCAAUCACUUGUCUUUUAAAUGGAGACCUGUAUGAAUGGCAUGACGAGGGCUUAACUGUCUCCUUUUUCCAGUCAAUGAAAUUGAUCUUCCCGUGCAGAAGCGGGAAUAAUAUCAUAAGACGAGAAGACCCUGUGGAGCUUUAGACACUAAGACAGACCAUGUUAAACACCCCCCCUAAGGGAUUAAACCUAUUGGGAACACUGCUCUGAUGUCUUCGGUUGGGGCGACCUUGGAGAAACAAAAAACCUCCGUGUGGAAUAGGAGUACUAGACUCCCAAAACUAAGAGCCACAGCUCAAACGAACAGAAUUUCUGACCAACCUCCCUCAAACAGAUCCGGCCAACUAAUGCCGAUCAACGGACCAAGUUACCCCAGGGAUAACAGCGCAAUCCUCUUUUAGAGCCCAUAUCGACAAGAGGGUUUACGACCUCGAUGUUGGAUCAGGACAUCCUAAUGGUGCAGCCGCUAUUAAGGGUUCGUUUGUUCAACGAUUAAAGUCCUACGUGAUCUG